AGGACGAACGCUGGCGGCGUGCUUAACACAUGCAAGUCGAGCGGAAAGGCCCUUCGGGGUACUCGAGCGGCGAACGGGUGGGUAACACGUAAGUAAUCUGCCCCUAGCUCUGGGAUAGCUCCGGGAAACCGGGAUUAAUACCGGAUACGACCACUUUAGACAUCUGUUGUGGUGGAAAGAAUUUUGGCUAGGGAUGAGCUCGCGGCCUAUCAGCUUGUUGGUGGGGUAACGGCCUACCAAGGCGACGACGGGUAG
RNAcentral lists this ribosomal RNA (255 nucleotides) under uncultured bacterium. Its description in RNAcentral is "partial small subunit ribosomal RNA". It matches the Rfam family "Bacterial small subunit ribosomal RNA", at positions 26 to 286 of the family's 1533-position model. The record is from RNAcentral.